CCUACGGGAGGCAGCAGUGAGGAAUAUUGGUCAAUGGCCGGAAGGCUGAACCAGCCAAGCCGCGUGAAGGACGAAGGUGCCAAGCAUUGUAAACUUCUUUUGUCAAGGGACAAAAUCAGGCUUGAGAGCCUGACAGAGGGUACUUGAAGAAAACGCAUCGGCUAACUCCGUGCCAGCAGCCGCGGUAAUACGGAGGAUGCGAGCGUUAUCAGGAUUUAUGGGGUUUAAGGGAUGCGUAGGCGGACGGUUAAGUCAGCGGUAAAAGCCCGGGGCUCAACCCCGGCGAGCCGUUGAAACUGGCUGUCUUGAGAUGUCGAGAGGUAUGCGGAAUGCGCAGUGUAGCAGUG
RNAcentral lists this ribosomal RNA (347 nucleotides) under uncultured bacterium. RNAcentral's name for it is "partial 16S ribosomal RNA". It matches the Rfam family "Bacterial small subunit ribosomal RNA", at positions 338 to 683 of the family's 1533-position model. The record is from RNAcentral.